GAUUGGUGCUUGCAUCAUGAUUUACAUUUGAGUGAGUGGCGAACUGGUGAGUAACACGUGGGAAACCUGCCCAGAAGCGGGGGAUAACACCUGGAAACAGAUGCUAAUACCGCAUAACAACUUGGACCGCAUGGUCCGAGCUUGAAAGAUGGCUUCGGCUAUCACUUUUGGAUGGUCCCGCGGCGUAUUAGCUAGAUGGUGGGGUAACGGCUCACCAUGGCAAUGAUACGUAGCCGACCUGAGAGGGUAAUCGGCCACAUUGGGACUGAGACACGGCCCAAACUCCUACGGGAGGCAGCAGUAGGGAAUCUUCCACAAUGGACGAAAGUCUGAUGGAGCAACGCCGCGUGAGUGAAGAAGGGUUUCGGCUCGUAAAACUCUGUUGUUAAAGAAGAACAUAUCUGAGAGUAACUGUUCAGGUAUUGACGGUAUUUAACCAGAAAGCCACGGCUAACUACGUGCCAGCAGCCGCGGUAAUACGUAGGUGGCAAGCGUUGUCCGGAUUUAUUGGGCGUAAAGCGAGCGCAGGCGGUUUUUUAAGUCUGAUGUGAAAGCCUUCGGCUCAACCGAAGAAGUGCAUCGGAAACUGGGAAACUUGAGUGCAGAAGAGGACAGUGGAACUCCAUGUGUAGCGGUGAAAUGCGUAGAUAUAUGGAAGAACACCAGUGGCGAAGGCGGCUGUCUGGUCUGUAACUGACGCUGAGGCUCGAAAGUAUGGGUAGCAAACAGGAUUAGAUACCCUGGUAGUCCAUACCGUAAACGAUGAAUGCUAAGUGUUGGAGGGUUUCCGCCCUUCAGUGCUGCAGCUAACGCAUUAAGCAUUCCGCCUGGGGAGUACGGCCGCAAGGCUGAAACUCAAAGGAAUUGACGGGGGCCCGCACAAGCGGUGGAGCAUGUGGU
This 900-nucleotide ribosomal RNA is filed under the name Lactiplantibacillus plantarum. Its description in RNAcentral is "bacterial SSU rRNA". It matches the Rfam family "Bacterial small subunit ribosomal RNA", at positions 71 to 945 of the family's 1533-position model. The record is from RNAcentral. Lineage: Bacteria; Bacillati; Bacillota; Bacilli; Lactobacillales; Lactobacillaceae.